RNAcentral lists this ribosomal RNA (433 nucleotides) under uncultured bacterium. Its description in RNAcentral is "partial 16S ribosomal RNA". It matches the Rfam family "Bacterial small subunit ribosomal RNA", at positions 29 to 507 of the family's 1533-position model. The record is from RNAcentral.
AACGAACGCUGGCGGCAUGCCUAACACAUGCAAGUCGAACGAGACCUUCCUGUCUAGUUGCGCACGUGUGCUUAACGCGUGGUAAUCUGCCCUUGGGUUCCGUAUCCCAGUUUGAAACGACUGCUAAUACCGGUUGAUCACGUACGUCCAAAGAUUUCUCGCCCAAUGAUGAGCCCGUGUAGGAUUAGCUAGUUGGUGAGGUAAUGGCUAGCCAAGGCGACGAUCCUUAGCUGGUCUGAGAAGAGGAUCAGCCACACUGGAACUGAGACACGGCCUAGCAUCGGACGGGAGGGAGCAGAAGGGAAUAUUGGACAAGGGGCGAAAGCCUGAUAAAGCAAUGUGGGGUGAGAGAGGAAGGGGUUAGGGUAGUAAAGCUCUUUUAGACGAGAUGAUAAUGACAGUAACGGGAGAAUAAGCUCCGGCUAACUACGUG